ACCAAUACGAUGGCACUGUCU
This 21-nucleotide microRNA is filed under the name Gekko japonicus. RNAcentral describes it as "Gja-Mir-430-o40_5p (mature (co-guide))". Lineage: Eukaryota; Metazoa; Chordata; Lepidosauria; Squamata; Gekkonidae. The record is from RNAcentral.